AACACAGGAUGCCCAGUUAAAUGGGAAUUUUACACAAUAACAAAUUGUUUCAGUAUAAGCGUGCCCCAUGCCAUAUUUGGGACAUGCUUAUGCCAAAACUAUCAUUUAUUGUUUAUCUGAAAUUAAAAUUUAACUUGGCAUCCUGUAUUUU
RNAcentral lists this microRNA precursor (151 nucleotides) under Otolemur garnettii (small-eared galago). RNAcentral describes it as "miRNA (ENSOGAG00000021145.1)". Lineage: Eukaryota; Metazoa; Chordata; Mammalia; Primates; Galagidae. The record is from RNAcentral.